GUUGUUUCUGUAGACCUGGACGGUGUUUUUUCUGCUUAAUUUCUCACGGAAAUGUUACUCCACCUUGUCUCCGUAGUAGAGCCAUAAGUGAAUGGAUGGAGCAUGUUUUCGAGAAACCCGUAGAACCCGUCGGAGAUGGCCUGGUGUUAUGGCAAUCUGGAAGAAGGACGUUCACAUUGAGGAAGAACGUCAUGUUCGAGCCAACGAUCGGGACUACAACGAGAGAUUCAGUUAUGCUG
This is a long non-coding RNA of Danio aesculapii, 239 nucleotides long. RefSeq lists it as uncharacterized. NCBI's taxonomy places the organism in Eukaryota, Metazoa, Chordata, Actinopteri, Cypriniformes, Danionidae. The record is from RefSeq and is a predicted model, not a curated record. The transcript is spliced from 3 exons.